AUUGAACGCUGGCGGCAUGCUUUACACAUGCAAGUCGAACGGCAGCGCGGGCUUCGGCCUGGCGGCGAGUGGCGAACGGGUGAGUAAUACAUCGGAACGUGCCCAGUAGUGGGGGAUAGCUCGGCGAAAGCCGGAUUAAUACCGCAUACGACCUGAGGGUGAAAGCGGGGGAUCUUCGGACCUCGUGCUAUUGGAGCGGCCGAUGGCAGAUUAGCUAGUUGGUGGGGUAAAGGCCUACCAAGGCGACGAUCUGUAGCUGGUCUGAGAGGACGACCAGCCACACUGGGACUGAGACACGGCCCAGACUCCUACGGGAGGCAGCAGUGGGGAAUUUUGGACAAUGGGCGAAAGCCUGAUCCAGCAAUGCCGCGUGUGUGAUGAAGGCCUUCGGGUUGUAAAGCACUUUUGGCGGGAACGAAAAGGACUGUGCCAAUACCACGGUUCGAUGACGGUACCCGCAGAAUAAGCACCGGCUAACUACGUG
Molecule: ribosomal RNA, 484 nt
Filed under: uncultured bacterium
Lineage: Bacteria
Description: partial 16S ribosomal RNA
Rfam family: Bacterial small subunit ribosomal RNA
Source: RNAcentral